GGGCCCGUGGCCAAACUUGGGAUGGCGCCGUGUUUGCACUGCGGAAACUGUCGGUUCGAGCCCGACCGGGUCCA
RNAcentral lists this transfer RNA (74 nucleotides) under Chloroflexi bacterium RBG_16_57_9. RNAcentral's name for it is "tRNA-Ala". It matches the Rfam family "tRNA". From Rfam's summary of the family: Transfer RNA (tRNA) molecules are approximately 80 nucleotides in length. Their secondary structure includes four short double-helical elements and three loops (D, anti-codon, and T loops). Further hydrogen bonds mediate the characteristic L-shaped molecular structure. tRNAs have two regions of fundamental functional importance: the anti-codon, which is responsible for specific mRNA codon recognition, and the 3' end, to which the tRNAs corresponding amino acid is attached (by aminoacyl-tRNA synthetases). tRNAs cope with the degeneracy of the genetic code in two manners: having more than one tRNA (with a specific anti-codon) for a particular amino acid; and 'wobble' base-pairing, i.e. permitting non-standard base-pairing at the 3rd anti-codon position. The record is from RNAcentral. Lineage: Bacteria; Bacillati; Chloroflexota.